Molecule: long non-coding RNA, 502 nt
Organism: Cannabis sativa
Lineage: Eukaryota; Viridiplantae; Streptophyta; Magnoliopsida; Rosales; Cannabaceae
Exons: 2
Source: RefSeq, a predicted model, not a curated record
CUCUGCUCGUCGGCUGCCGGCCGGCCUCAUGCCAUCCCGGCCCUCGACUCCCUUCCAGCCAGCCCAACGUAGACGAGCGCCGGACCUUCACCCACCCAGCCAGCGUAGACGAGCGCCGGACGUUCACCCAGCCACUUCGCCGGACCUUCAUCCAGCCACUUCGCCGGACCGUCGACACUCCACAACCGAUCUCCUCAAUUCCUCAUGAUGAUGAUGAUGAUGAUGACGACGAAGACGAAGACGACAGGGAUGAUGAUGAUGAUGAUGAUGAUUAUGAUCAACAGUAGUGCGAACAAAGGGAAUAUAUGAGAAAGAAAGCAGAGUGAGGCACAUAAAUGUAUUGUAUUCUAUUAAGUAAUAAUAAUAACAAUAUGAUUAAGUGUUGGGUGCAUCACAUAUUAGUGGGGCUUGAACCAAAAUAAGGGCACUUGAAAUUGUUAAUGAAUGUGGAGGCUUACCAAUUUCCAUUGCAACAAUAUACUUUGGAAGUUUUGAUUUUUAA